RNAcentral lists this ribosomal RNA (118 nucleotides) under Periophthalmus magnuspinnatus. Lineage: Eukaryota; Metazoa; Chordata; Actinopteri; Gobiiformes; Gobiidae. The record is from RNAcentral.
UAGUCUAACUGUACCACUUUGUCAAUGCCCAAUCUUGUCUGAUCUUUGAAGCUAAACAGGAUAGGGCCUGUUUAGUACUUGGAUGGGAGAUGGCUGGGAAUACCAGGUGCUGCAGUGG